GACGAACGCUGGCGGCGUGCCUAAUACAUGCAAGUUGAGCGAUGAAGCUUGGUGCUUGCUCCAAUUUGGAUAGCAGCGAACGGGUGAGUAACGCGUGGGGAAUCUGCCUUUGAGCGGGGGACAACAUUGGGAAACGAAUGCUAAUACCGCAUAACAUCUUUAAACGUAAGGUUCAAGUGUGAAAGAUGCAAUUGCUUCACUCUAUGAUUAUCUCGCGUUGUAUUAGCUAAUUGGGGAGGUAAAGGCUCACCCAGGCGAUCAUACAUAACCGACCUGAGAAGGUGAUCCGGCACCAUGGGACCUAGACACGGCCCAAACUUCCAACGGGGGGAGCCGUAGGGGAAUCUCGGCCAUGGAGGGAAGUCUGGACGGGCCACGCCGGCGGAGUGAAGAAGGGUCUUGGAUUCUAAAAAUCUGGUGGUAGGGAAGAACGUAGGGGAGAGUGGACUGCGCAUGAAGUGACGGUAACUAAUCAGAAAGGGACGGCUAACUACGUG
This 497-nucleotide ribosomal RNA is filed under the name uncultured bacterium. RNAcentral describes it as "partial 16S ribosomal RNA". It matches the Rfam family "Bacterial small subunit ribosomal RNA", at positions 28 to 507 of the family's 1533-position model. The record is from RNAcentral.